This 484-nucleotide ribosomal RNA is filed under the name uncultured bacterium. RNAcentral's name for it is "partial 16S ribosomal RNA". It matches the Rfam family "Bacterial small subunit ribosomal RNA", at positions 29 to 507 of the family's 1533-position model. The record is from RNAcentral.
AGUGAACGCUGGCGGCAGGCCUAACACAUGCAAGUCGAGCGGCAGCGCGGGGGCAACCCUGGCGGCGAGCGGCGGACGGGUGAGGAAUUCGUCGGAAUCUGCCUUUUUGUGGGGGAUAACGUAGGGAAACUUACGCUAAUACCGCAUACGUCCUACGGGAGAAAGUGGGGGACCGCAAGGCCUCACGCAGAAAGAUGAGCCGACGACCGAUUAGCUAGUUGGUGGGGUAAAGGCCCACCAAGGCGACGAUCGGUAGCUGGUCUGAGAGGAUGAUCAGCCACACUGGGACUGAGACACGGCCCAGACUCCUACGGGAGGCAGCAGUGGGGAAUAUUGGACAAUGGGCACAAGCCUGAUCCAGCCAUGCCGCGUGUGUGAAGAAGGCCUUCGGGUUGUAAAGCACUUUUGUCCGGAAAGAAAUCCCUGGAGCUAAUACCUUCGGGGGAUGACGGUACCGGAAGAAUAAGCACCGGCUAACUUCGUG